Molecule: long non-coding RNA, 287 nt
Filed under: Ursus maritimus (polar bear)
Lineage: Eukaryota; Metazoa; Chordata; Mammalia; Carnivora; Ursidae
Description: lncRNA (ENSUMAG00000005314.1)
Source: RNAcentral
CUCCGCCGUAGGAAAGGGUAGCCCUGGUGAUCAAAGCACAGGGCCGCUACUCUGCAGACUGCGUGCACCCUGACCUCUUGCAAAGAGAAAGGGAAGUCCUUAGCGAUUGGAGUAUCAGCUUUAAAACCAGGAAGGAAGAAGGUCCUGGCAGGGAGCUGACUUCUACCACAAAAGCAACCCGGAUCAGGAAGCUGGUGGAAGAGCCUGGGGCUUGGCUGGACGUGGCGCUUGUACCAGUGUGAACGAGUUCGGAAAACAGGGCUUUAAGGGCGUGAGGAGGAGGAGGA